Molecule: ribosomal RNA, 2904 nt
Filed under: Escherichia coli
Lineage: Bacteria; Pseudomonadati; Pseudomonadota; Gammaproteobacteria; Enterobacterales; Enterobacteriaceae
Description: 23S ribosomal RNA
Rfam family: Bacterial large subunit ribosomal RNA
Source: RNAcentral
GGUUAAGCGACUAAGCGUACACGGUGGAUGCCCUGGCAGUCAGAGGCGAUGAAGGACGUGCUAAUCUGCGAUAAGCGUCGGUAAGGUGAUAUGAACCGUUAUAGCCGGCGAUUUCCGAAUGGGGAAACCCAGUGUGUUUCGACACACUAUCAUUAACUGAAUCCAUAGGUUAAUGAGGCGAACCGGGGGAACUGAAACAUCUAAGUACCCCGAGGAAAAGAAAUCAACCGAGAUUCCCCCAGUAGCGGCGAGCGAACGGGGAGCAGCCCAGAGCCUGAAUCAGUGUGUGUGUUAGUGGAAGCGUCUGGAAAGGCGCGCGAUACAGGGUGACAGCCCCGUACACAAAAAUGCACAUACUGUGAGCUCGAUGAGUAGGGCGGGACACGUGGUAUCCUGUCUGAAUAUGGGGGGACCAUCCUCCAAGGCUAAAUACUCCUGACUGACCGAUAGUGAACCAGUACCGUGAGGGAAAGGCGAAAAGAACCCCGGCGAGGGGAGUGAAAAAGAACCUGAAACCGUGUACGUACAAGCAGUGGGAGCACGCUUAGGCGUGUGACUGCGUACCUUUUGUAUAAUGGGUCAGCGACUUAUAUUCUGUAGCAAGGUUAACCGAAUAGGGGAGCCGAAGGGAAACCGAGUCUUAACUGGGCGUUAAGUUGCAGGGUAUAGACCCGAAACCCGGUGAUCUAGCCAUGGGCAGGUUGAAGGUUGGGUAACACUAACUGGAGGACCGAACCGACUAAUGUUGAAAAAUUAGCGGAUGACUUGUGGCUGGGGGUGAAAGGCCAAUCAAACCGGGAGAUAGCUGGUUCUCCCCGAAAGCUAUUUAGGUAGCGCCUCGUGAAUUCAUCUCCGGGGGUAGAGCACUGUUUCGGCAAGGGGGUCAUCCCGACUUACCAACCCGAUGCAAACUGCGAAUACCGGAGAAUGUUAUCACGGGAGACACACGGCGGGUGCUAACGUCCGUCGUGAAGAGGGAAACAACCCAGACCGCCAGCUAAGGUCCCAAAGUCAUGGUUAAGUGGGAAACGAUGUGGGAAGGCCCAGACAGCCAGGAUGUUGGCUUAGAAGCAGCCAUCAUUUAAAGAAAGCGUAAUAGCUCACUGGUCGAGUCGGCCUGCGCGGAAGAUGUAACGGGGCUAAACCAUGCACCGAAGCUGCGGCAGCGACGCUUAUGCGUUGUUGGGUAGGGGAGCGUUCUGUAAGCCUGCGAAGGUGUGCUGUGAGGCAUGCUGGAGGUAUCAGAAGUGCGAAUGCUGACAUAAGUAACGAUAAAGCGGGUGAAAAGCCCGCUCGCCGGAAGACCAAGGGUUCCUGUCCAACGUUAAUCGGGGCAGGGUGAGUCGACCCCUAAGGCGAGGCCGAAAGGCGUAGUCGAUGGGAAACAGGUUAAUAUUCCUGUACUUGGUGUUACUGCGAAGGGGGGACGGAGAAGGCUAUGUUGGCCGGGCGACGGUUGUCCCGGUUUAAGCGUGUAGGCUGGUUUUCCAGGCAAAUCCGGAAAAUCAAGGCUGAGGCGUGAUGACGAGGCACUACGGUGCUGAAGCAACAAAUGCCCUGCUUCCAGGAAAAGCCUCUAAGCAUCAGGUAACAUCAAAUCGUACCCCAAACCGACACAGGUGGUCAGGUAGAGAAUACCAAGGCGCUUGAGAGAACUCGGGUGAAGGAACUAGGCAAAAUGGUGCCGUAACUUCGGGAGAAGGCACGCUGAUAUGUAGGUGAAGUCCCUCGCGGAUGGAGCUGAAAUCAGUCGAAGAUACCAGCUGGCUGCAACUGUUUAUUAAAAACACAGCACUGUGCAAACACGAAAGUGGACGUAUACGGUGUGACGCCUGCCCGGUGCCGGAAGGUUAAUUGAUGGGGUCAGCGCAAGCGAAGCUCUUGAUCGAAGCCCCGGUAAACGGCGGCCGUAACUAUAACGGUCCUAAGGUAGCGAAAUUCCUUGUCGGGUAAGUUCCGACCUGCACGAAUGGCGUAAUGAUGGCCAGGCUGUCUCCACCCGAGACUCAGUGAAAUUGAACUCGCUGUGAAGAUGCAGUGUACCCGCGGCAAGACGGAAAGACCCCGUGAACCUUUACUAUAGCUUGACACUGAACAUUGAGCCUUGAUGUGUAGGAUAGGUGGGAGGCUUUGAAGUGUGGACGCCAGUCUGCAUGGAGCCGACCUUGAAAUACCACCCUUUAAUGUUUGAUGUUCUAACGUUGACCCGUAAUCCGGGUUGCGGACAGUGUCUGGUGGGUAGUUUGACUGGGGCGGUCUCCUCCUAAAGAGUAACGGAGGAGCACGAAGGUUGGCUAAUCCUGGUCGGACAUCAGGAGGUUAGUGCAAUGGCAUAAGCCAGCUUGACUGCGAGCGUGACGGCGCGAGCAGGUGCGAAAGCAGGUCAUAGUGAUCCGGUGGUUCUGAAUGGAAGGGCCAUCGCUCAACGGAUAAAAGGUACUCCGGGGAUAACAGGCUGAUACCGCCCAAGAGUUCAUAUCGACGGCGGUGUUUGGCACCUCGAUGUCGGCUCAUCACAUCCUGGGGCUGAAGUAGGUCCCAAGGGUAUGGCUGUUCGCCAUUUAAAGUGGUACGCGAGCUGGGUUUAGAACGUCGUGAGACAGUUCGGUCCCUAUCUGCCGUGGGCGCUGGAGAACUGAGGGGGGCUGCUCCUAGUACGAGAGGACCGGAGUGGACGCAUCACUGGUGUUCGGGUUGUCAUGCCAAUGGCACUGCCCGGUAGCUAAAUGCGGAAGAGAUAAGUGCUGAAAGCAUCUAAGCACGAAACUUGCCCCGAGAUGAGUUCUCCCUGACUCCUUGAGAGUCCUGAAGGAACGUUGAAGACGACGACGUUGAUAGGCCGGGUGUGUAAGCGCAGCGAUGCGUUGAGCUAACCGGUACUAAUGAACCGUGAGGCUUAACCUU